Molecule: ribosomal RNA, 608 nt
Filed under: uncultured bacterium
Lineage: Bacteria
Description: bacterial SSU rRNA
Rfam family: Bacterial small subunit ribosomal RNA
Source: RNAcentral
GGAGCUGAGAGAAGCUUGCUUUUCUUAGCUUAGUGGCGAACGGGUGAGUAACGCGUGAGUAACCUGCCCUGGAGUGGGGGACAACAGUUGGAAACGACUGCUAAUACCGCAUAAGCCCACGGAUCCGCAUGGAUCUGCGGGAAAAGGAUUUAUUCGCUUCAGGAUGGACUCGCGUCCAAUUAGCUAGUUGGUGAGGUAACGGCCCACCAAGACGACGAUUGGUAGCCGGACUGAGAGGUUGAACGGCCACAUUGGGACUGAGACACGGCCCAGACUCCUACGGGAGGCAGCAGUGGGGGAUAUUGCACAAUGGGGGAAACCCUGAUGCAGCGACGCCGCGUGGAGGAAGAAGGUUUUCGGAUUGUAAACUCCUGUCGUUAGGGACGAUAAUGACGGUACCUAACAAGAAAGCACCGGCUAACUACGUGCCAGCAGCCGCGGUAAAACGUAGGGUGCAAGCGUUGUCCGGAAUUACUGGGUGUAAAGGGAGCGCAGGCGGACCGGCAAGUUGGAAGUGAAAACUAUGGGCUCAACCCAUAAAUUGCUUUCAAAACUGCUGGCCUUGAGUAGUGCAGAGGUAGGUGGAAUUCCCGGUGUAGCGGUGGAAU